This 292-nucleotide ribosomal RNA is filed under the name uncultured bacterium. RNAcentral describes it as "partial 16S ribosomal RNA". It matches the Rfam family "Bacterial small subunit ribosomal RNA", at positions 505 to 796 of the family's 1533-position model. The record is from RNAcentral.
GUGUCAGCAGCCGCGGUAAUACAGAGGGUGCGAGCGUUGUCCGGAAUCACUGGGCGUAAAGGGCGCGUAGGUGGCGACCCAAGUCCAUGGUGAAAGCUCGAUGCUCAACAUCGAGUCGGCCACGGAUACUGGGUUGCUGGAGCACUGUAGAGGCAGAUGGAAUUCCGGGUGUAGCGGUGGAAUGCGUAGAGAUCCGGAAGAACACCGGUGGCGAAGGCGGUCUGCUGGGCAGUUGCUGACACUGAGGCGCGACAGCGUGGGGAGCAAACAGGAUUAGAUACCCCGGUAGUCC